CCUACGGGUGGCAGCAGUGGGGAAUAUUGCACAAUGGGGGAAACCCUGAUGCAGCGACGCCGCGUGAGUGAAGAAGUAUUUCGGUAUGUAAAGCUCUAUCAGCAGGGAAGAUAAUGACGGUACCUGACUAAGAAGCCCCGGCUAACUACGUGCCAGCAGCCGCGGUAAUACGUAGGGGGCAAGCGUUAUCCGGAUUUACUGGGUGUAAAGGGAGCGUAGGUGGCAGGGCAAGUCAGAUGUGAAAACCCGGGGGUCAACCCCGGGAGUGCAUUUGAAACUGUCCAGCUGGAGUGCAGGAGAGGUAAGCGGAAUUCCUAGUGUAGCGGUGAAAUGCAUAGAUAUUAGGAGGAACACCAGUGGCGAAGGCGGGUUCCUGGACAUUAACUGACGCUGAGGCACGAAGGCCAGGGGAGCGAAAGGGAUUAGAUACCCGGGUAGUC
This 440-nucleotide ribosomal RNA is filed under the name uncultured bacterium. RNAcentral's name for it is "partial 16S ribosomal RNA". It matches the Rfam family "Bacterial small subunit ribosomal RNA", at positions 338 to 795 of the family's 1533-position model. The record is from RNAcentral.